Molecule: long non-coding RNA, 314 nt
Filed under: Lepisosteus oculatus (spotted gar)
Lineage: Eukaryota; Metazoa; Chordata; Actinopteri; Semionotiformes; Lepisosteidae
Description: lncRNA (ENSLOCG00000022008.1)
Source: RNAcentral
ACACGGAGAAUUGAUAGUAAAUUUGUGUUUAUUAUGUGGACAUUUGAGGGCGUCCGAUGUUCUGCAUUUACAUCCAGAAUACUGUAUACGUUUAGAGGUGAAUGCGCUGAAAAAACAGAAGCCAAGACCACAGAUUAUUCCAGCCUAAAGCCACUUCCUGGAUUGCAUGAUGUCAACCCGGUGUGAGGAGCAGGCAGUAUUGCCGCAGUAAGAGGUACGAAGUCAGUUCGCCUACUGCCGCUGCAAGGGGAACAGAGCUACCCAUGACUCCAAGCAGCACCUGCAGGAGUCAGGUACACUGAGGAAUUACCUUC